Girardinichthys multiradiatus is the source of this 464-nucleotide long non-coding RNA. RefSeq lists it as uncharacterized. The transcript has 3 exons. The record is from RefSeq and is a predicted model, not a curated record. NCBI's taxonomy places the organism in Eukaryota, Metazoa, Chordata, Actinopteri, Cyprinodontiformes, Goodeidae.
GUCCUGAAACUCAAUGGUGGCGCUCUGGGGCCAAGCCGCAGGCAAAGAGCUGCCCUCUGUACUCCAGCUGGCCUGUACGAAACAGUAGGAAAGGUUGAGUCAAGAACAAGAAAAGUCCCUGUGGUGUUCUGCUGAAUUCCAGGACCGUACGAUCCAGCUGAGGAUUCCCGUCACCUGCAAUACACAGUACAGUGAGGUUUACUUCACUUGCAGGAUCCAGUUACUGACUAAGCAAACCGGGGGAGUUUUCAUGUUUUCAAAGUACUUCAUAAAUAAAGAUGGAAUGGAUUGCAUACCCAAUGAGCUGCUCCUGCGACAGGUCUCUGGAGAAAGGCAUGAAGUCAACCAUGCUGAGUCGGGCGUUGGAUCUUCUGGAGCCAGCUGCAAAAAAAAUAACUUGUGAUUAAUGAAUCUUUAUCAUUUCCAUGUUUACUUAGAAAAAAUAAACCUAAACAAAAAUUCAA